CUGGCUUUCAGGUUCUCAUUCUUUUGAGCGGUCUGUCCAGGGGCCAGGCUUUUAUUUCAGGUCGGAGCUGAAGUCUGUGAGUUCAAAGGGGAUUCAUUUCUGUUUUGGGAGGUUAGGGGCUGGUAGCAAGGUGGGCUACCUGGCUUGUCUCCACGUGGCCUUGGCAGCCCCGCGUCCCGAGACCUGGUGGCCCAGAAAUAGAUCUUGCCGUGUGCAGAGAGCGCCUGAUCCUCGGGAAAUCUCGGCUUCGUUUUUUGCUUGCUAGGUAGGCACCGUUAUUACCCCGGCGCCGUUUUGCCAAUCCGCUCGGGAGAUCCCGGGAAGGUUGAAGAUGAAAUGUGUCCAGGAAAGAGCUGUAGCCCUCUGUGUGCCAGCGCAAAUGUCCUGUGGAAACUCCAGAAUAUCUGUAAAGUGGCCUUGGAUUUGGACAUUCUCAACAGGAAGGCUUAAAGGCUGAUGGGACUGUAAAGGCAGAGAUGGUGCUAAGCCGUUCUGAUGUUUGGAUUUGGAUUCCUCGAUUAAAGCUGGAUUCAGUUGAUGAGAGAAACCAAGGAUGGAAUUCAAGAAGUACACACAUAGUGUUCAGGAGAGAACCAGAUUGAUACCAACGACAUUUCUGGCCUGAACUUUGAUGCAAUUGGUGCCUAGACCCAACUGUCAUCAGAGAGGCUUCCUCCAACAACUCAUGGAAACAGCCGCCAAGACCCACUGAGUUUGGGAAAUCCUGCUGAAGAACGGGAGAGAAGAUUAUGGGAGCCCAGGGGGUCAAGGACAUCAAGAACACCCACAGAAUUGUCUAACCGGACUCAUAGGAGCUCACAGUCUGAACCAACAACCAGGGAGUCUGCUUGGGACUGACCUAGGCCCUCUACACAUGAGACAGUUUGGGAGCAGAUGUCUGAUUCUUUUGCUGGCUUUUGAGACCCUAUUCCUCAUACUGUUAUCCAUGGAGGCCUGUGCUGUUCCUGAACAUAAACUGGAGAGAGUGGAUUGAUGGGAUGGGACAAACAUAAUAAAGUUAAAUUCUGUAUCUGCCAGGUGGCCUAUUUAUACUACCAUUGGCUCCGAAGCCUGACUUAGUUCUAAAAAUAGGCACAGUAUUCAGUGAGUAUAUAAUCGAGUAAUACUUUAGUGGAUUGAUCUUGGUUAGGCACUAAUUUGUUGGUCAUCAUUUUGUAAGCAUUUAAGCCAAUGGUCUUUUCUGUUUGUCUGAUCCCAGUUUUAUCAGAGCAUCUUAUGUUCUAAUGCUUCAUAAUGUGGUUGCAGGUAAAUUCUGCUCCUCACAGAGAGCCCAAGCAGUCCAUCAUACUGUUUGCCUUCUCAGGGCUUCAUGAGGAUAGGCAGCCUGUCCCCCUAGUGCUUUCUGAACUUGACCAAGAAAAUUUUAGGACAGGAGGUGGUUGAUCUUUAGAGUUACUGAAACACUCAUGUUUAGAUUUUAAAUGGCUUGUUGUUUUCCCAAGUGAUUAAUACAUUUGUUUAAAUUUAAUUUAUAUGAGUUCAGUGUUUUCGCUUGAGUGUAUGUCCACCAUUCCUGUUUGAGGUCAGAAGAGGGGGCAUAAGAGUCCGUAGAACUAAACUGGAGUUAACAGGCAGUUGUGAGCUGCCAUGCGGGUGCUGGAAAUCAAACCCAGCUGCAACCUUCUCUCUGUCCUAAUCCAUCCCUCCUUUUCCAAAGACACAGUUUCUCUAACAAGCCUGGUUGUCCUGAAACUCAGAUCUCCCUGCCUCUGUACCCCACAAUGCCCCACCCAGUCCAGUUAAUACAUUUCAAAGCAGUUUAAAAUCUUUAGUGUGAGGACAUGAAAGUUGACUCAGCAGAAUAGUGUCAUAAUCAACUUGCAAUUAGAUGAACUGAAGAGCCCCAACAGUUAGCCCCCCAAUAGUUGGAAAAUUACUAAGCUGUCCCGUCCUUGGACGUGAGCAGCUCCACUUAAACAUCUUUCCCUGGUGGUCCUCAAGGACUUGAAAAUAAUUCCCCAGACCUCAAGGUUCCAGGCCAGUCACAAAGUUCAGCCAGGGCACAGACAGUUGCCUGAGACAGAUAACGAGCCAGACAGCCAUAAGUGUACAAACGAGAUUCAUGAAGGUCUGGCACCAAUUUCCAAAUUCCCCUUGUACCCCCACCACCCUGUUUGCGGUUUCAGGCUUUAAAAACUUGCUGUGAUUUCUUGUGGGGUUCACUCCCAAGGCUGCUGAACCCCAGUGCACCAGCUUAAUAAAACCCAAGAGGGUUUUGCUUCCUGGUGGUCUUUCUGAACAAGAACACAAAGUAAACUCUCGUUGCUGUAUUGCUGUCUAUAGCAGUCAAUCCUCAUUUUAUGUCACGGGAAGCAUAUAGUUUACUUGAGAAAUUAAUGUUAACACAGCUGGGUAUUCUAUGGGGAUUUUUGAUGUUUAGUCAGGGAGACUUGCACAGAGGCUUAAUCUAGAUCAGUUUUUUAAAUUAUAAAAGCCUAGAGCCGAUGUGAAUUGGUAUGCUUUAGUAUAUGCCUAUUGGAAUAAAGGCAACGUAUGUAUUACUUGGCUAAAAGACUUUGCAAGAGUAACAUGGAAGUUAAGUGUUGAAAUUGAGUGUUUUUACUCUGAAAUUCAAAUGAGAUUGUACUUUGGUUUUUCGAGACAGGGUUUCUCAAUAGUUUUGGAGGCUGUUCUGGAGCUCACUUUGUAGACCAGGCUGGCCUUGAACUCACAGAGAUUUGCCUGCCUCUGCCUCCCAAGGAGAUUGUACUUUGUGAUCUGUGUUUGGGACAGUUAAAACUAGUCCUCAAAAGGCUCAGUUACCUUCAACAUGGUAGGUUUACCCAUGACCCCCUUAAGCUAAGGCCCUAAGCAGAUCCAGGAAGCAGAAAUAAAGCAGCUGACUCAACCUCAGACACCUAGUGGAUAAGAUUACAGAUUUGCAAUUUCAAAACCAGCUUGUCUAAGGAAAACAGUUUGGCUUCUUUCUUUGUCAUUGGCUACAGAAACCCAUUUUCGAGCAUGUGUCAUUCUGGUCAUUGACUGGAUCCUGUGCCGGAACUAGUUAUAUCUUUGUCUUUGAAUAAAGCCUGUUGUAGUUUGA
Mesocricetus auratus (golden hamster) is the source of this 3064-nucleotide long non-coding RNA. RefSeq lists it as uncharacterized. The transcript is spliced from 5 exons. Lineage: Eukaryota; Metazoa; Chordata; Mammalia; Rodentia; Cricetidae. The record is from RefSeq and is a predicted model, not a curated record.